CGGCGCGUCUUAAACAUGCAAGUCGAACGAUCUGUAGCAAUACAGGGAGUGGCGGACGGGUGAGGAACACGUAGGAAUCUACCUUGAAGAGCGGGACAACUUUGGGAAACCGGGGCUAAUACCGCAUAGUACAGAGAUGUUAAAGGGCUAGCAAUAGUCGCUUCGAGAUGAGCCUGCGGUCUAUCAGCUUGUUGGUGAGGUAAUGGCUCACCAAGGCUACGACGGAUAGCCGGUCUGAGAGGAUGAUCGGCCACACUGGCACUGAGACACGGGCCAGACUCCUACGGGAGGCAGCAGUUAAGAAUCUUGCGCAAUGGGGGAAACCCUGACGCAGCGACGCCGCGUGAAGGAUGAAGGCUUUCGGGUUGUAAACUUCGGUAGACUGGGAAGAAGAAAUACGUUCGUUGAGGGCGUAUAGUGACGGUACCAGUCUGAAGCCCCGGCUAAUUACGUG
This 454-nucleotide ribosomal RNA is filed under the name uncultured bacterium. RNAcentral describes it as "bacterial SSU rRNA". It matches the Rfam family "Bacterial small subunit ribosomal RNA", at positions 40 to 507 of the family's 1533-position model. The record is from RNAcentral.